GCCGAGGUGGCGGAAUUGGUAGACGCGCUAGUUUCAGGUACUAGUGGGGGAAACCCCGUGGAGGUUCAAGUCCUCUCCUCGGCACCA
RNAcentral lists this transfer RNA (87 nucleotides) under Gammaproteobacteria bacterium. RNAcentral's name for it is "tRNA-Leu". It matches the Rfam family "tRNA". From Rfam's summary of the family: Transfer RNA (tRNA) molecules are approximately 80 nucleotides in length. Their secondary structure includes four short double-helical elements and three loops (D, anti-codon, and T loops). Further hydrogen bonds mediate the characteristic L-shaped molecular structure. tRNAs have two regions of fundamental functional importance: the anti-codon, which is responsible for specific mRNA codon recognition, and the 3' end, to which the tRNAs corresponding amino acid is attached (by aminoacyl-tRNA synthetases). tRNAs cope with the degeneracy of the genetic code in two manners: having more than one tRNA (with a specific anti-codon) for a particular amino acid; and 'wobble' base-pairing, i.e. permitting non-standard base-pairing at the 3rd anti-codon position. The record is from RNAcentral. Lineage: Bacteria; Pseudomonadati; Pseudomonadota; Gammaproteobacteria.